GACGAACGCUGGCGGCGUGCCUAAUACAUGCAAGUCGAACGAACCGACGAGGAUCUUGCGUCUCUGAUGUUAGCGGCGGAGGGGAGAGUCACACGUGUAUAACCUACCUAUAAGACUGUUAUAACUUCGAGAAACCGGCGCUUAUAGCGGAUAAUCUUUUGAACCUCAUGGGUCAAGAGUGAGAUACGGUCGUUGGGUCAGUUAUAGAUGCAUCCGCGCUGCAUUAGCUAGUUGGUAAGGUAGCGGCUUACCAAGGCGAGGAUGCAUAGCACACCUCAGAGGGUGAUCGGCCACACUGGCAGAGAGACAGGGUCCAGACACUUACGGGAGGACGCAGCCGGGAAUCCUACGCAAUGGGGGAGAGCCUGACGGAGCAAAGCGGAGUGAGUGAUGACGGUGCUAGGACCGGAAAACUAUGUUAUUAGGGAAGAACAUAUGUGCAAGUAACUGUGACGAUAUUGACGGUACCCAGUCAGAAAGCCCCGGCUAACUACGUG
This 497-nucleotide ribosomal RNA is filed under the name uncultured bacterium. RNAcentral's name for it is "partial 16S ribosomal RNA". It matches the Rfam family "Bacterial small subunit ribosomal RNA", at positions 28 to 507 of the family's 1533-position model. The record is from RNAcentral.